GAUGAACGCUAGCGGCGCGCCUAAUGCAUGCAAGUCGAGCGAUGAGUACCCCUUCGGGGGUGCAUCAGCGGCAAACGGGUGAGUAACACAUGGAUAACCUACCCCAAAGACGGGGAUAACUGCUGGAAACGGUGGCUAAUACCCGAUGAAUACAGCGAUCUGGGAUGGUCGUUGUAGAAAGCUACGGUGCUUUGGGAGGGGUCUGUGGCCCAUCAGCUAGUUGGUAGGGUAAUGGCCUACCAAGGCGAUGACGGGUAGGGGGUGUGAGAGCAUGAUCCCCCACAAUGGGAUUGAGAGACGGCCCAUACUCCUACGGGAGGCUG
This 323-nucleotide ribosomal RNA is filed under the name uncultured Chloroflexota bacterium. RNAcentral's name for it is "bacterial SSU rRNA". It matches the Rfam family "Bacterial small subunit ribosomal RNA", at positions 28 to 351 of the family's 1533-position model. Lineage: Bacteria; Bacillati; Chloroflexota. The record is from RNAcentral.